GGGAAUGUGGCUUAGUGGUAAGGUACUUGCCUAGCAUGCAUGAAGCCCUGGGUUCAAUUCCUCAGUACCA
This 70-nucleotide transfer RNA is filed under the name Dipodomys ordii (Ord's kangaroo rat). It matches the Rfam family "tRNA". Rfam says of the family: Transfer RNA (tRNA) molecules are approximately 80 nucleotides in length. Lineage: Eukaryota; Metazoa; Chordata; Mammalia; Rodentia; Heteromyidae. The record is from Rfam by way of RNAcentral.